UAGCCAUAUGCUUUGUUCAAGGGGUAAGCCAUGCAUGUCUCAGAGCAAAUGGUUAGAAACAGUGGGUCCGUGAAUGGCUCCCUACAUCAGCAGUCACCUGGGUGGUAAUUUCAACACAGUGGGACAUCCUUCAAAACCUGGUGGGUAAUACCCGAAUCAACUGGCCCACACAGAAGGAAGGGUGUACAAGUGUGCACUCUGUGUGUGGAGCUUGCUACCAGCUUAGAUACAGACUGGCACCCACAACCUGAGCCUAUCAGAGUUGUACAGGGUAGAUUGUUGUUGACCCAGGCUGGUGACACUAACAGCUUUGGCACUUUUAGAUGGUGUUCAAUUACACCACUUGCUUGACCCCCCGGGCUUUUGACCUAUUAGCUAGACUGUGGUGCAAUGGACCACAAUGGCACUUUCGGGUAACGGGGAAUCAGGGUUUGACUCCGGAGAGGGAGCCUGAGAGAUGGCUACCCCUUCCAAGGUGGGCAGCAGGCACGUAAAUUGCCCCCUACAGACACAACCUGUGAGGCAGCAACGAACUGUAAUAAUCCUGUUGGCUAUGUGUGUUGACAUGACUUGUAAUGGAAGGUAUUUAAACACAGUCAUGAGUAUCAACUGGAGGGCCAUUAUGGGAAUU
This 631-nucleotide ribosomal RNA is filed under the name uncultured eukaryote. RNAcentral describes it as "bacterial SSU rRNA". It matches the Rfam family "Eukaryotic small subunit ribosomal RNA", at positions 21 to 574 of the family's 1831-position model. The record is from RNAcentral.